CCGGCCCAGGCCCUGGGAGAAUUUUCCCCGUCCCCCCGCCUGUCGACAGCCCAGACUGGAUGUUGCAAGAGCCAAAUGACCAAAUGUUUGGAGGUAAUCCAACAUUUGCAGUGUUGCCUUUUAUGUUGAAUAUGAUUGAAAUUCUGGCUUUGGAGAACUCGACGGAGAUGUUCUUUAAGUGCUUACAUUUCAUCUCAUCUCAAAAUGUUGAAAUCAAUACGGAUUGCCAUCGUGUAAAAAGCAGCUUUGUGUUGCGCACGUUCGACGUCAGAAGAGCUAAACUGUUUACUUUUUGCAGGUCAUCUGUGAGGCCCGCCGGACGUCUGAAAUGGAAAAGUGGCCGCAAAGCCUGCUCGGGGCGUGAAAAGGAAGGCAGACGGUUUGAAUGAACGGUUUGGCUUGUGGAGACGGAAGCAGGAAAUGUCACCGAAAUAAUGAAACGAGGAACUUCCAUCAUAAAGAGAAGUUCAAAGGAAUUCCUGCCGCAGCGCCUUAUUAAAACGGCCCAGACGGCACGCGGUGUCUGCAUCUGUAUCGCAGCAGAAAGAAAUUAAUCAAAGUUUGGAACAACAUAAUACGGGAUGUGUAGAGGCAGGUCGGCCGACAUGUCUUCACCUGACAGAGCGAUUUGAGAUAUUACAGCUAUGUGACGGCGCUGUAGACGCAUACAGGAGACGGUUUUAAUGCUGUUACCAUUGGAGACGAUGGCAUUAUAUGGAGGAAGGUAGAUUUCAAAUUAAUCUACUAAUAUUGUCAAUAUUUGCUUCAUUUUGCAGAAUGGAAUUGAAGCAAUGUGUCAAUACUCAAUGACCUCGCGCGCACACAUCAGCGGCUACAGUCAUAAUCUCUCAAACGGCUUCAGGGCGGUUUGGCCGUGUGUGGUUGAGCAGGUUCUCAUGUGUUCUAGCAGAGACGUACUGUAUAGCUGCACUGAAAACAAAUCUCUUAACUGACUUGAAAUAUCAUGAUCUGAAAGGUAUUGUGAUGUACUGGACUGUGUAAGAAAUCUGGAAUCUGUCUAGGCCUGUCUUUCUUUCUUUCUUUCUUUCUUUCUUUCUUUCUUUCUUUCUUUCUUUCUUUCUUUCUUUCUUUCUUUCUUUCUUUCUUUCUUCCUCCUUUCUUUCCUUCCUCCUUUCUUUCCUUCUUUCUUUCUCUUUCUUUCCAGCCAUCCUUCCAUCCAUCCAUCCAUCCAUCCAUCCAUUCUUUCCA
Triplophysa rosa is the source of this 1209-nucleotide long non-coding RNA. RefSeq lists it as uncharacterized. NCBI's taxonomy places the organism in Eukaryota, Metazoa, Chordata, Actinopteri, Cypriniformes, Nemacheilidae. The transcript is spliced from 4 exons. The record is from RefSeq and is a predicted model, not a curated record.